Molecule: long non-coding RNA, 2853 nt
Filed under: Equus caballus (horse)
Lineage: Eukaryota; Metazoa; Chordata; Mammalia; Perissodactyla; Equidae
Description: lncRNA (ENSECAG00000052316.1)
Source: RNAcentral
GGCAUGCUGUCGUUUCAAUCUCUCUCCAGUGGUGGUAUCCCUACAAAGGAGCUGGAUUAGGUGACGUCAUCGUUUUUAUGUUUCUAAAUCUGAAGAGCAGGUUGAUGUGUUAUACAACAGAGAAAGAAAAAGGAUGGCUGUGUCAUCAGUAACAUGCCCCAUUUCAAGAAGCAGCCAGUGUUCACUAGGGAGUUUAUUCACCACAGAGAUGUAGAAAGAUUGGAAGCAAAAAUGCUGACACACGUUUGCACAGAGAACAAUUGCAACAUUAGUCCGGGGAGUUGAACCAAAACUGCCCUUUGCCUUUCUCCACCUGUUGGGGUUGGAGGGGAGCUGGAAUGCCUUAUCUUGCCCUCCAGACACACUUACUUAGGGUAGAACAAAUACCAGACAGGGAUGUGGUAACUAAAGGCUCAUUUAUUUCUCACGUUAUCUACUGAAUGCAGUGUACAAAGUCUCAAGCCUUGUGGUAUGGGGCCCAGGACAAGAAACCAUAUGCAGACUCUUCCCUCGGACGGUUUCUGUAGAAUAAGGAAGGAAACAUAAAUGACCUCAAAACAAGACAGAAAGUGAAGUGCCACAAGAGAGGAAGCAUGUUUUCAGCAUCAGCACAUUGAUUAUGCUGUCAUUAGCCAGAAUCCUGAGACAGGAAAAAGACCUAUCAGAUCACCAAAGUCCGUUCCUGGAGCGGGCCUCGGUCCCCUGGGAGAGACUGGGACAUGGCAUCUUAGGCCAAUGACCAAGGCAGAUGUAAAGGCAUGUGAAAUUGUACCCUGCUACGGUUUUUAAUUUUUGCAAGUUUCUGCAAUAACUCCCGGGGACUCUUCAUAAGACAGUUACACUGCUGAAUUUGGGAUUGGGUAAACAGUGGAGUCCUAUCGACACAGUGGAAUACUACUUAACAAUGAAAAAAGAACUACUGAUACAUACGACAACUUGAAUGGAGCUCAAGGGCAUUAUGUUGAGUGAAAAAAGCCAGUCUCAAAAGAUCUAUCCAUGUUUUCAAAUUCUUUCAAUAAGUAGAAGAAUGCAUUCCAAGUGGAGGACUAUUAGGAAGAAAGAUCCAGGAUUGAUAUGACCCUGGAAUCAUCUAUGCACUUGAUUCUAAAAUGGAAAAUGUCCUUUAAAUGGAACAGGUUCCAGAUGAUCCUCUGAGGAGCUUCGCUUUGACGUGAAGCUGGACAGAGAUGAUCCAUUGCGAGCCAUUGACUCUGAUCUUCAAGGCUCUUAUUCUCAAAAGUCACAGAAGCAUCACCACAGUUGUCAACCUUUGAAGACUAAGGUAUUGCAACAUCGUGAUGAAGGCAAACUACAGUAGAUGCCAGAGUUGAAGACCAGUCCUCAAACCUCAGGUGGACCCUAGAAAAUCCCUCUGGAGAGACAAAUUCCUGAUGCCAGCCUUAAAACACUGUUCAAACUCUCUCCUUUCACCAGGCUGUAGGGAACAACCAACAGUUUGGCAAAGGACAACUUCCACCACGUUGACUCUGGCCAAUUGAGAUUCUAUUGUCUUCAGAGAAGAAUGCUCACGAGUAUAGAUGCUGAAUAACAUAGUGGAUCUCAAGGAAUUGUCCCCCCAAAUACUUUUUACUUACCAAAGGUAAAAUAAUAAUUUUACAGUGGGGAAACCUGGCAGACACCACCUUAACCAAAUGACCAAAGAUAACCUUGCAGCAAUGGGACUAAUCAGUAUUAGUCCCAUUGUCUCCUCAUAGGACGCUCUGAGAAGAACUCAGCCUUAUUCCUGUGAUAUUCUACCAAAAGCGCAUGACUUGAAUCUAGUCAUAAGGAAACAUCCAACAAAUCUGAGUAGAGGGAGAGUCUACAAAAUAACUGGUCUGUACUCUUCAAAAAUGCCAGUGUCGAGAGAAAGACAGACUCAGGAAACUGUUCCACUUCACAGGAGACUGAAGACACAAGAUGACUUAAUUCAAAUCUUGGAUUGUUUUUGCUGUAAAAGACAUUGUUGGGACAAUUGACAAAAAUCUUAAUAAGCUCUGUAGAUUAGGUAAUAACAUUGUUUCAUUGUUAAUUUCCUGGUUUUGAUCAUUGUCCUAUGGUCACGCAAGGGAAUUCAUGCUUUUAGGAAAUACAGACAAAAGGUCAUCAUAUCUGUGGCUUACUCUUAGAUGGGCAUGAGAGCAAAUGAUGGAAAUGAUGGAAAUGCUCCAUAUCUUGACUGUGGUGGUGGUUACAAUGGUUACACGAACGCACCUAUUUGUCAAAGUUCAUCAAACUUAAAUGCAUGAAUUUUAUUGUUUGUAACCAUACCUCAAUCAAUAAAGCUGAUUUUUUAAAAAUGCUUUUCAUUUUGAUAUUGUAUAUUAUUUUGUGAAGUAACUACUCAAGUAAUAAGUCAUAUGAACUAAUUUUCUGGGUUUUAUGUGUAUAAUUUUGUGUUGAUUGAUUGAUUGCCUAAUCUGAUGCAUGAAAUUCAAUAAAUUGUCACUGAACUGUUAGAAGCUCACUGUCUCCAUUGUGUCAUUUUAUCUCAUCUAUUGUAAGUAGUUUGCAACUAGGCAUGCGAGUUCUCAUUCAAAUCUUGCUUGCUUUUUUUUUUAAAGAUAUUAUUUUUCCUUUUUGUCCCUGAAGGCCCCCGGUACACAGUUGUAUAUUUGUAGCUGUGGGUCCCUCUAGUUGUGGCAUGUGGGACACAGCCUCAGCACGGCUUGAUGAGUGGUGCCAUGUCCGCCCCCAGGAUCCGAACCGGCGAAACCCUGGGCCGUCGAAGCAGAGCACGCGAACUUAACCACUCAGCCACGGGGCCGGCCCCUCUUGCUUGCUUUUUAAAGAGCUGAAAAUAUUUUCUGUCUAAAAACAUUUCUUCUUGCCAAUAAAAGAUAUAUUCAACAG